This 301-nucleotide ribosomal RNA is filed under the name uncultured bacterium. Its description in RNAcentral is "partial 16S ribosomal RNA". It matches the Rfam family "Bacterial small subunit ribosomal RNA", at positions 509 to 807 of the family's 1533-position model. The record is from RNAcentral.
CAGUAGCCACGGUAAUACAGAGGAUGCAAGCGUUAUCCGGAAUGAUUGGGCGUAAAGCGUCUGUAGGUGGCUUUUCAAGUCCGCCGUCAAAUCCCAGGGCUCAACCCUGGACAGGCGGUGGAAACUACCAAGCUGGAGUACGGUAGGGGCAGAGGGAAUUUCCGGUGGAGCGGUGAAACGCGUUGAGAUCGGAAAGAACACCAACGGCGAAAGCGCUCUGCUGGGCCGACACUGACACUGAGAGACGAAAGCUAGGGGAGCAAAUGGGAUUAGAUACCCGCGUAGUCCCUGUCUCUUAUAC